RNAcentral lists this ribosomal RNA (541 nucleotides) under Moesziomyces antarcticus. RNAcentral describes it as "LSU rRNA". It matches the Rfam family "Eukaryotic large subunit ribosomal RNA", at positions 116 to 638 of the family's 3401-position model. Lineage: Eukaryota; Fungi; Basidiomycota; Ustilaginomycetes; Ustilaginales; Ustilaginaceae. The record is from RNAcentral.
UGAAAGCUGGCGUCUUCGGCGUCCGCAUUGUAAUCUCAAGAAGUGUUUUCCGCUUCGGACCAAGCCUAAGUCCCUUGGAAAAGGGCAUCAUAGAGGGUGAUAAUCCCGUACAUGGCUUGGAGCGCCCGAAGCUUUGUGAUACGCUUUCUAAGAGUCGAGUUGUUUGGGAAUGCAGCUCAAAAUGGGUGGUAAAUGCCAUCUAAGGCUAAAUAUUGGGGAGAGACCGAUAGCGAACAAGUACAGUGAUGGAAAGAUGAAAAGAACUUUGAAAAGAGAGUUAAACAGUACGUGAAAUUGCCAAAAGGGAAGGGUAGGAGGUCAGAGAUGCGGCCUGGGAUUCAGCCUUGCUUUUGCUUGGUGUUUUUCCCAGAUUGCAGGCCAACGUCGGUUUUGGGCACUGGAGAAGGGUAGGAGGAACGUGGCACCUCUCGGGGUGUGUUAUAGCCUCCUACUGGAUACAGCGACCGAGACCGAGGACAGCAGCGUACUCGCAAGAGCGGGCCUUCGGGCACCUUUACGCUUAGGGCGUUGGCAUAAUGGC